AUGGGGUUUGAGUUGUGCAGCAGUGUGCCGUUAGUGUUGUUCGGGCUGCAGGAACUUGAACAAGACAGAUAAGGUCCUCCUUAGCACCUUAUGGAGCAAACAGUGGAGAAGUCAUCUGUAAAGAACACCUUUGAUAAUGGCCAGUUUGGACAAAUGGACUUUAAAGAAGUAAUUUCCCGAAGUUUAAUCUCCAACUUUCAACAACAAGGAGCCUUCUCUGGUGAAAUUAAGUUACGAUCGAGCGAGUUCCUCUCUAAAAUACUGGCCUCCUGUGUUAAGGGUCAAGAGUUUACCCGCGAUGACACUCAGCAUGAACAAACAGACCAGCAGUUUGCUAAAAUCGCAAAGGAAUCUCAGGCUGUUCCUGAAACUGGCACAAAUGCGUCUCAUUAUUUAGAUAAAGAAACAAUUGAAAUGCUGCGAAGUGUUUUAUCCAGAAUGGAACUGAAGAAAGACGAAGCUGGAAUGUGGACUCCAUGUGUGGAGACCAAGCCAAGUCCUGACAGAAAUCCUAGUAAGAUUGACCUUAAUCCUAGUAAGACCUUCUUCCAUCUCCCACACAAUGGUAGUCGCUGCAUUCAUUCAAAUGUUAAGAGCGCUGUAGUCAAAGUAGCUCAGAAACCUUCAUCACAGGCCACUUUGACUAGUAAAUCAAAGGAAAAGGACAGGGAUCGAAGUGAUGGGAGUCUGCCGUUUAAAUCAAAGCAGCUUGACUUUUUGGAAGCUUUGAAAGAGAAGCUAAAGCAGAAAGAUCUGGAGAAUCAACAGAUUGUGCAGCUACUACUGAUAGCACAGCAAGAACUGAAGGAUGCCAAAAAGAUGUCAAAAGUGAAGGAAGUGGAGGCCCGGAUAAUUGUUCAAAAGCUGAAAUAUGAAGAGCUGAAAAAUGCUGAGCUCGCCAAGAAACUCAACAAUGCUUGUGAGGAUAUGAGGGAGAAACUGUGCGAAGCUAAAGACAACAAUGAAAGCUUUGUUAAGCAACUCAAAGCACUGCUGGAAAAGUAUGAGCGGCUCAAAAAACGAGCCAAUGCUAUCAAGCAGCAGCUUCUUGAGGAACGUGCUAAGAAACAGAGUGCUCAGAAAAGUGUAAAGAAGGUGCAACAGAUGGCUGAAGAACUUUUAAGCAGCCAGGAUUUUCUGGAGAAACAGCGGGAUGCUGCAGUAAAAGAGCUGUCAGAUUGUCGGAGGAAAUUGCAGACCAUGGAAGAGGAACACAAGAAGCAUGUUAGCAUUGUGCAACGAGUUAAGGGGGAGGCAUCAGCUAUCAGAUCUGAGUAUCUGAACCUUAGAGAGGAGCUAUCUAAGACUCAGGAAGAGAACAAGAAGCUCAAAGACGAGGUUCAAUCCAAAGAUUUGGAAAAAGACAAGGCUGUGGGCGAUUUUCAAGAAUGUAAAAACGUGGUUAAAAAGCUGUACGCAGAGCUGGAUGAGAGCAAACUCCAAAAAGAAUCAAUUUAUCAAGAACUGGAAGCCAUGAAGAAGGAAUUCAACCUAAUUCACAACAAACACAAAGUGGAGAACCUUCAUCUCCAAGAAGAAAAGAAGGCCUGCAUGAAACAGUUCGAAGGUGUAAGAAUGGAACGUGAAGCCUUAAAAGAAGUUGUGUCCAAACUCAAAAAAGACAAGCAGCUGCUUAAAGAAGAGCUGGAACGCCUUCAGAAGGAAAAGGCCAGGGCUGAGACAGCUAGUCACCGUGAAGGCCAGAGGAUGAGGGAGGCUGUAAGGCUGCUGGAGCGAGAGAGGACACUCCUAUUGGAUGAAAUGAAAGACUUGAGGAAGGAUUACUUCAACCUCAGUGAUCGCAUCACACAGAGGAUUGGACAACUGGACCAGGCUGAUGCUCCCAUGUGCAUCACUGAUAUAUCAUCGAUAUUUCACCAGAAUCAAGCAUCAAAUGUGGAUAAUACAGUUGUCUCAGUUGCAUCAAGUGUGGACAUGAUACAACAUAUACGGAGGAAACUGGAGGAAGAGGAGAACAACCUGCAGAAAUGAACAUCUACCAACAGUUCCUCAUUUUUUUUUUAGAAUUUGAUUUUACCCAUAAGAGCCCAUAUCCAUUUCUAAACGGAUGAUGCCAAACUUAAAACUGAAUCCGAUCAAUUUAGUGAGCAACUAAUUCAUGUUUUUUUUUUUAUUGUGGGAACAUGACUGUAUUUAUUUUAGGGUUAAAUACCAGAUGUAACAUAAAUUACAACAAUUUUAUAUAAUUAGAUUUUAACAUUUUGUUGUAGAAAUCAGGUCAGAACUAGUUAUAUAGAACAUAAAACGUGUAAUUAAAGCAUUUAAAUUGUUAAAAUGGCUGGAACAGAUCUGUAGAGGAAAAAAAUUAAAAGGGGCUUAUUUUUAUCUUAAUAAAAACUUACUCAGAUCUCA
Molecule: long non-coding RNA, 2373 nt
Filed under: Astyanax mexicanus (Mexican tetra)
Lineage: Eukaryota; Metazoa; Chordata; Actinopteri; Characiformes; Acestrorhamphidae
Description: lncRNA (ENSAMXG00005021577.1)
Source: RNAcentral